RNAcentral lists this ribosomal RNA (936 nucleotides) under uncultured Streptomyces sp. RNAcentral's name for it is "bacterial SSU rRNA". It matches the Rfam family "Bacterial small subunit ribosomal RNA", at positions 549 to 1484 of the family's 1533-position model. The record is from RNAcentral. Lineage: Bacteria; Bacillati; Actinomycetota; Actinomycetes; Kitasatosporales; Streptomycetaceae.
AAUUAUUGGGCGUAAAGGGCUCGCAGGCGGUUUCUUAAGUCUGAUGUGAAAGCCCCCGGCUCAACCGGGGAGGGUCAUUGGAAACUGGGAAACUUGAGUGCAGAAGAGGAGAGUGGAAUUCCACGUGUAGCGGUGAAAUGCGUAGAGAUGUGGAGGAACACCAGUGGCGAAGGCGACUCUCUGGUCUGUAACUGACGCUGAGGAGCGAAAGCGUGGGGAGCGAACAGGAUUAGAUACCCUGGUAGUCCACGCCGUAAACGAUGAGUGCUAAGUGUUAGGGGGUUUCCGCCCCUUAGUGCUGCAGCUAACGCAUUAAGCACUCCGCCUGGGGAGUACGGUCGCAAGACUGAAACUCAAAGGAAUUGACGGGGGCCCGCACAAGCGGUGGAGCAUGUGGUUUAAUUCGAAGCAACGCGAAGAACCUUACCAGGUCUUGACAUCCUCUGACAACCCUAGAGAUAGGGCUUUCCCUUCGGGGACAGAGUGACAGGUGGUGCAUGGUUGUCGUCAGCUCGUGUCGUGAGAUGUUGGGUUAAGUCCCGCAACGAGCGCAACCCUUGAUCUUAGUUGCCAGCAUUUAGUUGGGCACUCUAAGGUGACUGCCGGUGACAAACCGGAGGAAGGUGGGGAUGACGUCAAAUCAUCAUGCCCCUUAUGACCUGGGCUACACACGUGCUACAAUGGACAGAACAAAGGGCUGCAAGACCGCAAGGUUUAGCCAAUCCCAUAAAUCUGUUCUCAGUUCGGAUCGCAGUCUGCAACUCGACUGCGUGAAGCUGGAAUCGCUAGUAAUCGCGGAUCAGCAUGCCACGGUGAAUACGUUCCCGGGCCUUGUACACACCGCCCGUCACACCACGAGAGUUUGCAACACCCGAAGUCGGUGAGGUAACCUUUAUGGAGCCAGCCGCCGAAGGUGGGGCAGAUGAUUGGGGUGAA